RNAcentral lists this ribosomal RNA (115 nucleotides) under uncultured bacterium. RNAcentral's name for it is "partial 16S ribosomal RNA". It matches the Rfam family "Bacterial small subunit ribosomal RNA", at positions 1358 to 1482 of the family's 1533-position model. The record is from RNAcentral.
UACGGUGAAUACGUUCCCGGACCUUGUACACACCGCCCGUCAAGCCAUGGAAGCUGGGUGUACCUAAAGUCGAUAACCGUAAGGAGUCGCCUAGGGUAAAACUAGUAACUGGGCU